UAAGCUACUCUCUUCAGACUGUAUAAAUCUUUCACCUUUUACUAAAGAUUUCUGUGGAGAGGAAUAAUUCUGACUCUUAACCCAAUUUUUUGAGGCCUUGCACUAGCAGGGCU
This 113-nucleotide small nuclear RNA is filed under the name Chinchilla lanigera (long-tailed chinchilla). Its description in RNAcentral is "U5 spliceosomal RNA (ENSCLAG00000021386.1)". It matches the Rfam family "U5 spliceosomal RNA". From Rfam's summary of the family: U5 RNA is a component of both types of known spliceosome. The precise function of this molecule is unknown, though it is known that the 5' loop is required for splice site selection and p220 binding, and that both the 3' stem-loop and the Sm site are important for Sm protein binding and cap methylation. Lineage: Eukaryota; Metazoa; Chordata; Mammalia; Rodentia; Chinchillidae. The record is from Rfam by way of RNAcentral.